GAUGAACGCUGGCGGCGUGCCUAAUACAUGCAAGUCGAGCGAACAGACGAGGAGCUUGCUCCUCUGACGUUAGCGGCGCCGGGUGAGUAACACGUGGAUAACCUACCUAUAAGACUGGGAUAACUUCGGGAAACCGGAGCUAAUACCGGAUAAUAUAUUGAACCGCAUGGUUCAAUAGUGAAAGAGGGUUUUGCUGUGACUUAUAGAUGGAUCCGCGCCGCAUUAGCUAGUUGGUAAGGUAACGGCUUACCAAGGCAACGAUGCGUAGCCGACCUGAGAGGGUGAGCAGCCACACUGGAACUGAGACACGGUCCAGACUCCUACGGGAGGCAGCAGUAGGGAAUCUUCCGCAAUGGGCGAAAGCCUGACGGAGCAACGCCGCGUGAGUGAUGAAGGUCUUCGGAUCGUAAAACUCUGUUAUUAGGGAAGAACAAAUGUGUAAGUAACUAUGCACGUCUUGACGGUACCUAAUCAGAAAGCCACGGCUAACUACGUG
Molecule: ribosomal RNA, 496 nt
Filed under: uncultured bacterium
Lineage: Bacteria
Description: partial 16S ribosomal RNA
Rfam family: Bacterial small subunit ribosomal RNA
Source: RNAcentral